UGCGUAGGCGGUUGCCUAAGUCAGAUGUGAAAUCCCCGGGCUUAACUCGGGUGGUGCAUUUGAAACUGGGUGGCUAGAGUGCAGGAGAGGGAAGCGGAAUUCCUAGUGUAGCGGUGAAAUGCGUAGAUAUUAGGAGGAACACCAGUGGCGAAGGCGGCUUUCUGGACUGUAACUGACGCUGAGGCACGAAAGCGUGGGGAGCAAACAGGAUUAGAUACCCUGGUAGUCCACGCGGUAAACGAUGGAUACUAGGUGUAGGGGGCGUAGAGCCUUCUGUGCCGCAGCAAACGCAAUAAGUAUCCCGCCUGGGGAGUACGGCCGCAAGGUUGAA
RNAcentral lists this ribosomal RNA (331 nucleotides) under uncultured bacterium. Its description in RNAcentral is "bacterial SSU rRNA". It matches the Rfam family "Bacterial small subunit ribosomal RNA", at positions 568 to 898 of the family's 1533-position model. The record is from RNAcentral.